RNAcentral lists this transfer RNA (76 nucleotides) under Caudoviricetes sp. RNAcentral describes it as "tRNA-Asn". It matches the Rfam family "tRNA". Rfam says of the family: Transfer RNA (tRNA) molecules are approximately 80 nucleotides in length. Their secondary structure includes four short double-helical elements and three loops (D, anti-codon, and T loops). Further hydrogen bonds mediate the characteristic L-shaped molecular structure. tRNAs have two regions of fundamental functional importance: the anti-codon, which is responsible for specific mRNA codon recognition, and the 3' end, to which the tRNAs corresponding amino acid is attached (by aminoacyl-tRNA synthetases). tRNAs cope with the degeneracy of the genetic code in two manners: having more than one tRNA (with a specific anti-codon) for a particular amino acid; and 'wobble' base-pairing, i.e. permitting non-standard base-pairing at the 3rd anti-codon position. Lineage: Duplodnaviria; Heunggongvirae; Uroviricota; Caudoviricetes. The record is from RNAcentral.
GGAAAUGUAGCUCAGUUGGCAGAGCAUCUGACUGUUAAUCAGAGGGGCGCAGGUUCAAGCCCUGCCGUUUCCGCCA